UACGUAGGAGGCAAGCGUUGUCCGGAAUUACUGGGCGUAAAGCGCGUGUAGGUGGUGGGACAAGUCUGCUGUGAAAGCGCCUGGCUUAACCGGGCGAGGUCGGCGGAAACUGUCGCACUCGAGGACGGUAGAGGGGGGUGGAAUUCCCGGUGUAGUGGUGAAAUGCGCAGAUAUCGGGAAGAACACCCGUGGCGAAGGCAGGUCUCUGGGCAUUAACUGACGCUGAGGAGCGAAAGCAUGGGGAGCGAACAGG
This 253-nucleotide ribosomal RNA is filed under the name uncultured bacterium. Its description in RNAcentral is "partial 16S ribosomal RNA". It matches the Rfam family "Bacterial small subunit ribosomal RNA", at positions 524 to 776 of the family's 1533-position model. The record is from RNAcentral.